CAACUCUAAUGGCUCUCCAGUACACAUCUGGAACUGCUGGAUGGCCUCGUGGUGAGACCUCUUAUACCCAGGGGGAGGAGUCAGAGGCAAGAAGAGAUUGCACCAAUGAGGG
Non-coding RNA from Pantherophis guttatus, 112 nucleotides. NCBI's taxonomy places the organism in Eukaryota, Metazoa, Chordata, Lepidosauria, Squamata, Colubridae. The record is from RefSeq and is a predicted model, not a curated record.